GUAGGNGGCAAGCGUUAUCCGGAUUUACUGGGUGUAAAGGGAGCGNAGACGGCUCUGCAAGUCUGAUGUGAAAACCCNGGGCUUAACCCUGGNACUGCAUUNGAAACUGUCUNUCUNGAGUGCCGGAGAGGUAAUCGGAAUUCCUAGUGUAGCGGUGAAAUGCGUAGAUAUUAGGAAGAACACCAGUGGCGAAGGCGGCUUACUGGACGNUAACUGACGUUGAGGCUCGAAAGCGUGGGGAGCAAACAGGAUUAGAUACCCUGGUAGUCCACNCNGUAAACGAUGAAUGCUAGGUGUUNGGGANCNGANCUCUUNCGUGCCGCCGCAAACNCAUUAAGNA
RNAcentral lists this ribosomal RNA (340 nucleotides) under uncultured bacterium. RNAcentral describes it as "partial 16S ribosomal RNA". It matches the Rfam family "Bacterial small subunit ribosomal RNA", at positions 527 to 866 of the family's 1533-position model. The record is from RNAcentral.